UUGUAGCUCAGUGGUAGAGCAAUUGCCUAGCAUGUGUGAGACACUGGAUUUGAUCCUCAGCACCACAUAAAAAUAAAGUUAUUUUUUUUUAAAAAGUGAAUGUUUAAAAAUAUGUAUAUUGUACAGAAGCACCCUGGGUUCAAUCCCCAGUACCAAA
RNAcentral lists this transfer RNA (157 nucleotides) under Marmota monax (woodchuck). RNAcentral describes it as "tRNA.Ala". Lineage: Eukaryota; Metazoa; Chordata; Mammalia; Rodentia; Sciuridae. The record is from RNAcentral.